Molecule: ribosomal RNA, 500 nt
Filed under: uncultured bacterium
Lineage: Bacteria
Description: partial 16S ribosomal RNA
Rfam family: Bacterial small subunit ribosomal RNA
Source: RNAcentral
GAUGAACGCUGGCGGCGUGCUUAACACAUGCAAGUCGAACGGGUCUGCCCUGUUUUUUGCGGGGUGGGUCAGUGGCGAACGGGUGAGUAACACGUGAGUAACCUGCCCCUCACUUCUGGAUAACCGCUUGAAAGGGUGGCUAAUACGGGGUGUUCUGGCUGUGCCGCAUGGUGUGGCUGGGAAAGAUUCACUUUUGUGGUGUUUUGGUGGGGGAUGGGCUCGCGGCCUAUCAGCUUGUUGGUGGGGUGAUGGCCUGCCAAGGCUUUGACGGGUAGCCGGCCUGGGAGGGUGGGCGGUCACACUGGGACUGAGAUACGGCCCAGACUCCUGCGGGAGGCAGCAGUGGGGGGUAGUGCACAAUGGGCGGAAGCCUGAUGCAGCGACGUCGCGUGAGGGAUGGAGGCCUUCGGGUUGUGAACCUCUUUCGCCGGUGAAGAAGGUCCUGCUCUUUGUGGUGGGGUUGACGGUAGCCGGGUUAUGAAGCGCCGGCUAACUACGUG